AGCGGAGGAAAAGAAACCAACAGGGAUUGCCCCAGUAACGGCGAGUGAAGCGGCAACAGCUCAAAUUUGAAAUCUGGCCCCAGGCCCGAGUUGUAAUUUGCAGAGGAUGCUUUUGGCGCGGUGCCUUCCGAGUUCCCUGGAACGGGACGCCAUAGAGGGUGAGAGCCCCGUACGGUUGGACACCAAGCCUUUGUAAAGCUCCUUCGACGAGUCGAGUAGUUUGGGAAUGCUGCUCAAAAUGGGAGGUAUAUUUCUUCUAAAGCUAAAUAUUGGCCAGAGACCGAUAGCGCACAAGUAGAGUGAUCGAAAGAUGAAAAGCACUUUGAAAAGAGGGUUAAACAGCACGUGAAAUUGUUAAAAGGGAAGCGCUUAUGACCAGACUUGCGCCCGGUGAAUCACCCAGCUCUCGCGGCUGGGGCACUUUGCCGGCUCAGGCCAGCAUCAGCUCGCUGUCGGGGACAAAAGCUUCGGGAACGUAGCUCUCUUCGGGGAGUGUUAUAGCCCGUUGCACAAUACCCUUCGGCGGGCUGAGGUACGCGCUCCGCAAGGAUGCUGGCGUAAUGGUCAUCAGCGACCCGUCUUG
RNAcentral lists this ribosomal RNA (583 nucleotides) under uncultured fungus. RNAcentral describes it as "eukaryotic LSU rRNA". It matches the Rfam family "Eukaryotic large subunit ribosomal RNA", at positions 49 to 656 of the family's 3401-position model. The record is from RNAcentral. Lineage: Eukaryota; Fungi.